Salvelinus fontinalis (brook trout) is the source of this 3114-nucleotide long non-coding RNA. RefSeq lists it as uncharacterized. NCBI's taxonomy places the organism in Eukaryota, Metazoa, Chordata, Actinopteri, Salmoniformes, Salmonidae. The transcript has 6 exons. The record is from RefSeq and is a predicted model, not a curated record.
UGCAGGAUUGCUCAUGCAAACCCUUCUGCAGGCAUAUGAGGCCAAUAUGAAGUACUGCACACACUGUAUUAUCACAUCCUCUGUCUCUAAGUCUCUCUCUCAAUUCAAUUCAAUUCAAAGGGCUUUAUAGGCAUGGGAAACAUAUGUUUACAUUGCCAAAGCAAGUGAAAUAGAUCAUAAACAAAAGUCUAAAAAACAAUUUAGACAUUACACACAAAAAGCUCCAAGACAAUAUACAUAUUAUGACUAUAUACAGUGUUGUAACGAUGUGCAAAUAGAUCAACAUAAAUACGGGCUGAAUUUACAAUUGUGUUUGUGGCAACAAGUCACACAUGUUGCUGCUGUGAUGGUACACUGUGGUAUUUCAGCCAAUAGAUAUGGGAGUUUAUCAAAAUUGGAUUUGUUCUUUUUGGGUCUGUGUAAUCUGAGGCCAAUAUCUGUCUCUAAUAUGGUCAUACAUUUGGCAGGAGGAUAUGAAGUGCAGCUCGGUGUCCACCUCAUUUUGUGGGCAGUGUGCACAUAGACUGUCUUCUCUUGAGAGACACGUCUGCCUAUGGCGGCUUCUCUCAAUAGCAAGGCUAUGCUCUCUCACUCUUUAGCUCUCUCUCACUAUCUCUCCCUUCUCUCUCUUUCUUUCUUUCUCUCUCUCUCUCCCUCCCUCCUCUCUCUUCCUUCUCUCUCUCUCUCUCCCCCUUCUCUCUCUCUCCCUUCUCUCUCUCUCCCUCCUCUCACCCUCUCUGUCUCUCUUUCCCUCCUUUCUCUUUCUCUUCUCCUAAGUGGUCUGCUCAUAAAGUUCCAAAAAUACUGUUACCUGUAAAAUAACAUGACCAUUAACCUCACAACCAGCAACUAGGAAACACUCCAAAAACCACCAGUAUCAGACUGAUGGACACAGUGACAGACCCAAAACACGCCCACUCCUCAUCGUCUAACUCUGCAGCUGAGUGAAGGUUUUUUUUCAGAGAACGACUAUAGAGUGUAACUUCCUUUUCAACUAACAUACCGGGAGUCUUUUCUAGAACAGCAGCCCUCAUCAAAUGAUGUCUCUCUCUCUUCUCUGUGUGUUUUGGUGAGUCUAGCUAUCUACCAGUCAGAGAUAGAUGAGGAGGACGUACAGCCAGAGGAAAGAGACACAACUCCUAACAGAGAUGUCUGGUGGUCCCCUCUCGUGUUUCUCCAAACAGGGAAUACUCCUACUCUCUAUCCUCCACUAUGGGCUGGUGUGGUGUAGCAUCUGCAUUGUAGUGGUGCUGACCCUCAUUGUAGCUGUGGCAGUGUAUUACUGCAGGGGCCGCCGUAACACGGUAUAUCAAAUUGACAACACAAUAUAUGCGGAUGUUAUGGGCAAUACAAGAAAUAAAGAUACAAGAGGGACAGUGGAUGACCUGGCUGAGCCAAGACUGAACAAACCGCAGACUUUGUAUGACGAGAUCAAAGUUGGACGCCCAAACGCGCCCUCUUCUGCCUACCAGGAAGUACUCGUGAGCUGAGCAGGAUGUGUUCAUAGGAUGGGCCUUAUAUCUCUGCAUCAUCUGCAUCCAAGGCUACAGUCUGUAGAUGGAUGUUACUGUUACAUUUUAUCACGACUUGCACAUUUCUGACAUUUGUUGCUUAUUUUUUUCAUGUUUGCAAUCUUCUCCCUUUAUUGUUCCUCAUAUCCAGGCUGCAUCUCAUCCGGAUGUGAUUGGGAGUCCCUUAGGGCGGCGCACAAUUGGCCCAGCGUCAUCCGGGGCUACCAUCAGGGCAACCAGGAGACAGACAGCAGCACUGACCCCCGGGAAUGCAGCCACAUCUGUACUGACCCCCUGUACUGGAGAGGGAGGGUCAAAGGUCAGGCUCAGGUCAGAGGUUGUGAUCUGGUAUAACAGGGAAACACUGAGGGAGAAUUUUUUUAUUUUACCUUUAUUUAUACAGGUUUUUCUCAUUGAGAUAACAUCUCUUUUCCAAGAGAGACCUGGUCCAAUAGCUGCAGAGGGAACAACGUUUCAGACAAAACAACUUACAUACACUAACACAACAUUAAACACAUACAGUACAACAAAAACAUUGUACAUUAAAAACACAAACGUCUUGACUAAAAACAGCUGGCCUAAAAACAAUUACACUCUUCUAUGAUAUAUACAUCGAUCAAGUGUUUAAACUCCACCAACGAAACUAGACACAUUAAAAUGUUCAGGAGAGAAUUCCAGGACCAUGGAGCUGAGUAACUAAAACUAUUUCUACCAUGACCUGUUCUAAUUUUUGGUACUGUUAGAAACAAAUCAGAAUGGGACCGUAAUUUAUAUUUAUUUACUGACCUGACUAAAAAAGAACAGAGAUAAAAUUGAAUAAUUAUAGAGACACAUUUUAUUCAUACUAAAUGUAUACAUAACAUUGCAUUUCUGAUGUACUGAACAAUAAUUGUCUGAGAAAAAUAAAUGCUGUUUAAAACUUGAAAAAAUAUAAUUUAAAGUACAUUUUGUGUCAUACUUACUUCUCAGUAGUCACUGGGCCUGUUGUUGAGGAAGCUGGAGAGGGAGAGGUCAGGUUGUUGGUGGACAGUUCAAUGUCAGAGUAAUGACACAACUUCUUGUGAGGACAGAUCACUAAAGCCCUGUAUUCUUUCACCUGAAUUAAUUAAUUAAUUCAUUAAUGUCAAGAAUCAGGGUAGAAAGGUUGUAUCACUGAGGCAUUGGGUCGUGGAGUCAUCCAAGCUCAUCAAACUCAAAGUUACCUCAAUGGUGCCCCCACCCUGGGUAGUCCAUCCAUUCAGAGGCAGAUACCUGUAUCCAAUACCUGUUUAGUCCAGUACACCUGUGUCCAGAGGCAUCAUGCCCAUAAGGAGCACAGGGGCAUGUGACCCCUCAGAUUUGUCCUGUAAGAAAAUGUUAAAAUAAUAAUAAUUCCAUGUUUUUGUUGUUUCUCUGCAAUACUACUAGCCACCUAGCAAUGUUAUGAAGUUGACUUCAGCUAGGCCAGGUAUGUUUCCAACCUGAUAACUAGUUAAGAAGCUAGCUGCUUUUAGCAACGCUAGUAGCCUAUUUACGCACUAGCAUUGCUAGGAAUUAGCUUGCAAAAACCAGAAUAGUCCGCCGGAAGCCAGAAGUGAAAUACAAUUACAUUUCAACUUACUCU